RNAcentral lists this unclassified non-coding RNA (526 nucleotides) under uncultured Colletotrichum. Its description in RNAcentral is "sequence contains ITS1, 5.8S rRNA gene, ITS2". The record is from RNAcentral. Lineage: Eukaryota; Fungi; Ascomycota; Sordariomycetes; Glomerellales; Plectosphaerellaceae.
UUAAGUUCAGCGGGUAUCCCUACCUGAUCCGAGGUCAAAACAUAAAGAAUGGGGGGUUGUCCGGCGGGCAGCGCCUACAACCGCAGCGAGAAAUCUGACUACGCUGGGAUGUCGGCACCACCGCCCACGGGUUUCGGGCACGUCCGUCAGGACGACGCCCAGUACCAAGCAGAAGCUUGAGGUUUGAAAUGACGCUCGAACAGGCAUGCCCCUCGGAAUACCAAAGGGCGCAAUGUGCGUUCAAAGAUUCGAUGAUUCACUGAAUUCUGCAAUUCACAUUACUUAUCGCAUUUCGCUGCGUUCUUCAUCGAUGCCAGAACCAAGAGAUCCGUUGUUAAAAGUUUUGAUUAUUUGCUUGUACCACUCAGAAGAAACGUCGUUAAAUCAGAGUUUGGUUAUCCUCCGGCGGGCGCCGACCCGCCCGGAGGCGGGAGGCCGGGAGGGUCGCGGAGACCCUACCCGCCGAAGCAACAGUUAUAGGUAUGUUCACAAAGGGUUAUAGAGCGUAAACUCAGUAAUGAUCCCU